AAACCACGUGGCUGGUCUUUCACUUCCAUAGCUAGAGAAAAGUAGAAAUUGUACAGUCAGUUUUGAAGCUCUGAGCAAGUGGUCAAACUAUUUGUCUGUAUUGGUGGAGGCUGAAGACAUGAGUCCAUGGACAGGGGCUACUGAGGAACCUUCAUCAAGAACAUUAACAAGUCUCGUGCAUGGACAAAGAUGAUGUGUACAGUUUUGGAGUGCUUGCUUGUGAAGUGGUGAAUGCCAGAUUUCCUGAAGCUGCUGUAUUUCUUGGUCUGCUAUCGAGUAUGGAAGGUGUAUGGCGGGAGCUCCACCCACUCAUCACCUCAGGACAGACCCUCCAUGGACACUGUGUUACACCACAUCAAACAAUUGGACUCUGAGUCUUAGUAUUGGUGCAUGAGUGUGUUAUUAUUAAUUUGUGUAAAGAAUAUAAUUAUUAUGAAGAUUUUCUUGCAAACAAAGUGGGGGAGGGGCUGCUCAAGAUGAGGGGGUGUUGCAUAUGGGGCCAGAGAUCAGAAAGCCAUGUGGACUCACUGAAAACUGUACUAGAUAUCAUGCAAGAUGAUAGCAGCCACGGUCCUCACACUUGUCUGCUCCCUUCAUAAAGCUAGCUCUCUGGGGAAGGUGAACGUACAGGUGGUUUUACUUCCCUAUGUCCCCUCCAGCACUGGAGUCAAGGUCAACUUCACUCUGAGCUCCCCUCAAGGUUGCUUCUUUUGGUGUUGGCAAGUCCACCCUCCUCCGCUCUAUGGCGUGUCAUGAGCUGCGUCUACCAGCUGGUGUGAGUGUACUACACGUGGAGCAAGAGGUCACCGGGGACAACACACUAGCACUGGAUAGUGUACUCAAGUGUGACACUGAGAGAGUGCAGCUGCUCGCUAGAGAGGGGGAGCUACUGCAUGGCCUCAGGGGACAAGAACACAGCAGCAGGCAGUGCUUCUGAUGAGCUGGCUGAGGUAUACCUUCCACUACAGGAG
Long non-coding RNA from Halichondria panicea, 971 nucleotides. RefSeq lists it as uncharacterized. Lineage: Eukaryota; Metazoa; Porifera; Demospongiae; Suberitida; Halichondriidae. The record is from RefSeq and is a predicted model, not a curated record. The transcript is spliced from 4 exons.